Molecule: RNA transcript, 2148 nt
Organism: Cervus elaphus (red deer)
Lineage: Eukaryota; Metazoa; Chordata; Mammalia; Artiodactyla; Cervidae
Gene: AATF
Gene name: apoptosis antagonizing transcription factor
Exons: 13
Source: RefSeq, a predicted model, not a curated record
CCCCGCCCCCUCCCGGGAGCCUCCCGGAAGUUGGCGACCCGGAGCCCGGCGCGCAACUCGGCGCUUCCCUGACGGUUCGCGGGGAUCCGUCUCUCAGGAGAGAGGACUUGGCAGGGGGAGAGCAACGUUCAGGAGCGCGGCGCCGGGCGAGGCCUUGGUGACCAUGGCGGGACCGCAGUCUCUGGCGCUGCAGCUGGAGCAGUUGUUGAACCCGCGACCGCGCGAAGCGGAUCCUGAGGCCGAGCCGGAGGAGGCCACUGCUGCCAAAGUGAUUGACAGGUUUGAUGAAGGGGAAGAUGGGGAAGGUGAUUAUCAGGCGGUGGGUAGCAUUCGAAAGCUGGCAUCAGCCUCCCUCUUGGACACAGACAAGAGAUAUUCUGGCAAGACCACGUCUAGAAAAGCUUGGAAGGAAGACCAAUGGGAGCAGCCUCCGUCAGGCUCAUCUGAUAAAGAAAUAUCUGAUGAGGACAGGUCUGCAGAUGGAGAUUCAGAGGACCUGGGCCUGGAGGAGUCUGAUGAGGAAGCCAUGAGUGCUGAGGAUCAGGAGGGCGGGGACGAAGGGGACAGCAGCCUGGCCUGGAAGAAGAGGAGUGGGAGCCACUCACGGACGUCAUCGGGCUUCAGUGUCCAGAGCAUCAGUGACUUUGAAAAAUUUACUGAGGGAAUGGAUGACCUUGGUAGCAGUGAGGAGGAAGAGGACGACGAGGAGGAGAGUGGUUUGGAAGAAGGGGAAGGUGAGGAAGACUUUGAAGAUGUGAGUGAGGAAGACAAGGCCGAAGACAGGGCCAGUGAGGACGACGGGGUGGUGAUGACCUUCUCUGAGGCCAGAGUUUCUGAGGAGGUGGAGAAAGGCCGAGCUGUGAAGAAUCAGAUAGCACUGUGGGACCAGCUCUUGGAAGGAAGGAUAAAGCUGCAAAAGGCUCUGCUGACCACCAAUCAGCUUCCUCAACCAGAUGUUUUCCCUGUCUUCAAGGACAAAGGUGGCCCAGAAUUUGCCAGCGCCCUGAAAAACAGUCACAAGGCACUUAAAGCACUGUUGAGGUCAUUGGUGGAUCUCCAGGAAGAGUUGCUUUUCCAGUACCCAGACACUAGGUAUCUCGUAGAUGGUACAAAACCCAAAGCAGAAAGUGAAGAGGAGAUUUCCAGUGACAAUGAAGAGCUCAUAGAGGAGAAGCAGCAGCCGCAGAGGAGGGGCCCAGCAAAGAGGAAGCUGGAGACGGAAGACUACCCCAGCUUCAUGGCGAAGCGUUUUGCCGACUUCACUGUCUACAGGAACCGCACGCUCCAGAAAUGGCACGAUAAGACCAAGCUGGCUUCCGGAAAACUGGGGAAGGGAUUUGGUGCCUUUGAACGCUCAAUCUUGACUCAGAUCGAUCAUAUUCUGAUGGACAAAGAAAGAUUACUUCGAAGGACACAGACCAAGCGUUCUGUCUACCGAGUUCUUGGCAAACCUGAGCCAGCAGCCCAGCCUGUCCCGGAGAGUCUGCCAGGGCAGCCGGAGAUCCUUCCUGAGGCCCCUGCCAAUGCCCACCUGAAGGACUUGGAUGAAGAAAUCUUUGAUGAUGAUGACUUUUAUCACCAGCUCCUCCGAGAACUCAUAGAACGGAAGACCAGCUCCUUGGACCCCAAUGAUCAGGUGGCCAUGGGAAGGCAGUGGCUUGCAAUCCAGAAGCUAAGAAGCAAAAUCCACAAGAAAGUAGAUAGAAAAGCCAGCAAAGGAAGGAAACUUCGGUUUCAUGUGCUUAGCAAGCUGCUGAGCUUCAUGGCACCUAUUGACCAUACCACAAUGAAUGAUGAUGCCAGCAUCUCUUGGUUUUUCCCCUGUGGUCCCAAAGUGGCUGCUGCAGCUUUCGCCAUCAAGCAUGCAUUUCGGGUAGGAAGAAGAGGAAAGGAGUGGUGUCAGCCACAUUGAUUGAUCUUCUUUUACCAGAACAGUAAAAGCUUCUCAGAAAGACCUCUAAAGACUUCUCACAUCUCGUUGGCUGGAACUCUGUUACGUUGCCACUUCAGUAGAGCAAGACAGAGCUGUAUCGAUCCCUUUUUGGCCAACUCAAUCCCCGUGAUGACGGCCAUGGGGCCUGACGGUGCCCGUCUUUCCAGUUCGAGGCCUGAGACGGGGCCACUGCACACCCUGUCCUGGUGGAGGAA